RNAcentral lists this ribosomal RNA (614 nucleotides) under uncultured bacterium. RNAcentral describes it as "bacterial SSU rRNA". It matches the Rfam family "Bacterial small subunit ribosomal RNA", at positions 40 to 657 of the family's 1533-position model. The record is from RNAcentral.
GGGGAGGCUAACCAUGCAAGUCGAGGGGUAUCCCGAGCAAUCGGGAGAGACCGGCGCACGGGUGAGUAACGCGUAUGCAACCUGCCUGUUACAGGGGGAUAGCCCGGAGAAAUCCGGAUUAAUACCGCAUAGUUUUGUGAUACCGCAUGGUAUUACAAAUAAAGUUUCGGCGGUAACAGAUGGGCAUGCGUGACAUUAGCUAGUUGGUGAGGUAACGGCUCACCAAGGCUACGAUGUCUAGGGGUUCUGAGAGGAAGAUCCCCCACACUGGUACUGAGACACGGACCAGACUCCUACGGGAGGCAGCAGUGAGGAAUAUUGGUCAAUGGGCGAGAGCCUGAACCAGCCAUCCCGCGUGCAGGAAGAAUGCCCUAUGGGUUGUAAACUGCUUUUUCGCAUGAAGAACAUCCCGAACGUGUUCGGGACUGACGGUAGUGCGUGAAUAAGCACCGGCUAACUCCGUGCCAGCAGCCGCGGUAAUACGGAGGGUGCAAGCGUAAUCCGGAUCUAUUGGGUUUAAAGGGUGCGUAGGCGGCGAUAUAAGUCAGUGGUGAAAUGCUGCAGCUCAACUGUAGAACUGCCAUUGAAACUGAAUUGCUUGAGUAAUCUUGAAG